Molecule: small nuclear RNA, 103 nt
Organism: Puma concolor (puma)
Lineage: Eukaryota; Metazoa; Chordata; Mammalia; Carnivora; Felidae
Source: RefSeq, a predicted model, not a curated record
UUGCUUCAGCAGCACAUGUACUAAAACUGGAACGAUAAAGAGAAGACUGGCAUGGUCCCUGAGAAAGGAUGGCAGGCAAAUUUGUGAAGCAUUCUAUACUCUC